AUAACUUUCUUCUAUCUCUCUCUCUUUUUCACCAUGUCUCACUCACUCUCAACAGUUUCAAUUUUCUGUUAGACACCCACAUCUACGAGCGAAAGUGGUGGCAUACAACAGUAAUGGAAACUACAUUUAAUCUGGCUUAUGCGAAGAGCUCCGUUACUGGAUAGCUCAGAGGGCACUUUAUCACAGCACUCACAUCCUUCUCCUCCUUCGACGACGCCGAACAACAGGCAGCUGACAGGCAACAGGAACGGAGGAACUCAAGGUAACCCACACCCAGAGCACCGGGGCUGGUUCGGGCAAGCAGCCUCUCACCUCAAGGAGCAAAUGCUGCAGAAAUGCUAAAAUGUUGACCAACCCAUGAGGAUGAUGAUGAUGAUGGCAGGGGGGGAAACUUUAUGCACUGCAAAGUUGUUUCCUUUGUUUUUCGCUCUCCAACCGAAAACUGAAAGCCAACAACAACAUUGUUGCCCAGUUUUCUCCAUUUCGAUGCACAGUUUUCCGUAUUUCGAUGCACAGUUUUCCCUAUUUUGAUGCCCAGCCUUGCCUCUUUUGAUGCGCAGUUUUCCCUCUUAAUUUGGGAAAAUGCGGAAUUUCCUGCACGUAUCGACAUCGAUGACCGCAGCCGAACAAAGCCAAUGAAAAUUUACACCUGUCGACCGCAUAGGAAUUGCAAACAAAUUUAAAUAUGCUUUGUGGUCGUCGGUAUAGCCUGGUCCUCAGGAAUAGGCCAUAAAUAAUUGAUGGCCGAGUAAUUAUAUUUUCCGCAUUUAAGCAGCAAAGCCACAGAACUCGAACGAAAAUUUAAUUUUAUUGCUAAAUUAUGCAGUGGCCCGGAUAGAUAAAAUAUCAAUUCAUUUCCAUGGUCCUUUCCUUAAACAAAUUUCCAACACAUUUCAUGAUUAUUUGUCUAAGGAAAAGCAAUGAAAUUUAAGUAGAAAUUUCCCUUCCAACUAAUUGCAGGCUGCCUUUCAAAUGUGCCACAAAAGUUUCCUUUAAUUAGCGGACGCUCCUGACAGCACAAAACUUUCAAAGUUUUAUGCACAUAGAAAUAAAUUUCCAUUUACUUUUCCCAUCA
Molecule: long non-coding RNA, 1075 nt
Organism: Drosophila pseudoobscura
Lineage: Eukaryota; Metazoa; Arthropoda; Insecta; Diptera; Drosophilidae
Exons: 2
Source: RefSeq, a predicted model, not a curated record